CCUUCCCUGCUUUGUCUCCCAGCUGUUUUCAGUCUUGAAGAUGUGGUACACGGAAUGUGAACAUCUGUCUCACAUCUCAGCUCUACAGAAGUCCUGCUGUGACAGUGGUGCAGUCCAGCGCAAGCCUGGGCGCCUGCUGGCCAACAUCCAGGAGCUCCUCAGCGUGUCGGGCUGCGGAGAUGCAGCGGUUCAGCUCCAGGGGUGGAGGGCACCGCCAGCCAUGGCAUCGCUGAAACCACACUGGGCAGCGGAGACACCAGAGCAGCUGCCCCACCCCGUGUCCUCAGGAGCCUGUGUGACAGCUGAGUCCUCCAGGCUGGGCGAAAUCGCUCCGUCCUCCACACCGUGAAGAGAUUGAGGACUAAGAAAAAAGGAAGCAAGAAACCCAGAUCACCUGCCUGGAAUCAGAGGAAGACCAAGAAGAACAGGAGAAAAACAGAAACACUCAGGAAGCAAGCUCCUUUCUGUGCACCUGCCUUUUCCUCCGAGAGUACUCCUUUUAAAACCAGAGCCUGGACCUGUGGCUGCAGCAGUAGCACCCUGGGGUGCUGCAGGGGUUCCAGGGUGCCCUGCUCUGUCUGAAAGGAGCCCCCCUGGGAUUGAGAUGAUCAACUGUGAAAUCCUGCUCCUUCUUUAGGUCUUAUCUCAGUGGUUCCCUUUAUGGGGUCUUUCCUGUGCCCUCCAGGCCAGCUAAGGGAAAGGACUUCAUGCGUUUGCUAGGAACUUUCACUGUAAUUCUUGUCACAAAUUGUUAUUUAGGAUUCACUUGGUAGUCCUGCACAUUUACUGCUCUUAGUUUACUACAGUAUAUUAUGUUUUUCUUUUCUUUUCCUUUUUUUUCCUGUAAUUGAAUGCAAAGUCUUUAAUAACAACUUCUCCCAAUAUAAUUUUAACCAAUUCUA
This is a long non-coding RNA of Cavia porcellus (domestic guinea pig), 902 nucleotides long. RefSeq lists it as uncharacterized. The record is from RefSeq and is a predicted model, not a curated record. Lineage: Eukaryota; Metazoa; Chordata; Mammalia; Rodentia; Caviidae. The transcript has 2 exons.